RNAcentral lists this ribosomal RNA (138 nucleotides) under uncultured bacterium. Its description in RNAcentral is "partial 16S ribosomal RNA". It matches the Rfam family "Bacterial small subunit ribosomal RNA", at positions 355 to 509 of the family's 1533-position model. The record is from RNAcentral.
UGGGGGAUAUUGCACAAUGGGGGGAACCCGUGAUGCAGCGACGCCGCGUGGGCGAUGGAGCGCCUCGGCGCGUAAAGCCCUAUCAGCAGGGAAGAAGAUGACGGUACCUGACUAAGAAGCCCCGGCUAAAUACGUGCC